AUUGAACGCUGGCGGCAUGCUUUACACAUGCAAGUCGAACGGCAGCACGGGUGCUUGCACCUGGUGGCGAGUGGCGGACGGGUGAGUAAUACAUCGGAACGUGUCCUUAAGUGGGGGAUAACGCAUCGAAAGAUGUGCUAAUACCGCAUAUUCUCUGAGGAGGAAAGUAGGGGAUCGAAAGACCUUAUGCUUUUGGAGCGGCCGAUGUCUGAUUAGCUAGUUGGUAAGGUAAUGGCUUACCAAGGCGACGAUCAGUAGUUGGUCUGAGAGGACGACCAGCCACACUGGGACUGAGACACGGCCCAGACUCCUACGGGAGGCAGCAGUAGGGAAUAUUGGACAAUGGGUGCGAGCCUGAUCCAGCCAUGCCGCGUGCAGGAAGACGGCCUUCUGGGUUGUAAACUGCUUUUGCCAGGGGAUAAAAGUACCCUGCGGGGAAAUUGAAGGUACCUGGUGAUAAGCCACGGCUAACUACGUGCCAGCAGCCGCGGUAA
RNAcentral lists this ribosomal RNA (494 nucleotides) under uncultured bacterium. RNAcentral describes it as "bacterial SSU rRNA". It matches the Rfam family "Bacterial small subunit ribosomal RNA", at positions 30 to 523 of the family's 1533-position model. The record is from RNAcentral.